AAUGAACGCUGGCGGCGCGCCUAAUACAUGCAAGUCGAGCGAGAAAACGUACCAAUACGUUUGUAAAGCGGCGAACGGGUGAGGAAUACAUGGGUAACCUACCCUUGAGUGGGGAAUAACUAGCCAAAAGGUUAGCUAAUACCGCGUACGCUUCUUGGACUUCGGUUCAGGGAGGAAAGCGCUACCGGGGGUAGCGCGCUCUUGGAUGGGCUCAUGUCCUAUCAGCUUGUUGGUGAGGUAACGGCUCACCAAGGCUUCAACGGGUAGCUGGUCUGAGAGGACAAUCAGCCACACUGGCACUGCAACACGGGCCAAACUCCUACGGGAGGCAGCAGUAAGGAAUAUUGCGCAAUGGGCGAAAGCCUGACGCACCGACCCCGCGUGGGGAAUGAAGGUCUUCGGAUUGUAAACCCCUUUCGGGAGGGAAGAUGGAAUGGGGUAACCCAUUCGGACGGUACCUCCAAAAGCAGCCACGGCUAACUUCGUG
RNAcentral lists this ribosomal RNA (487 nucleotides) under uncultured bacterium. RNAcentral describes it as "bacterial SSU rRNA". It matches the Rfam family "Bacterial small subunit ribosomal RNA", at positions 29 to 507 of the family's 1533-position model. The record is from RNAcentral.